RNAcentral lists this ribosomal RNA (190 nucleotides) under uncultured Flavobacterium sp. Its description in RNAcentral is "partial 16S ribosomal RNA". It matches the Rfam family "Bacterial small subunit ribosomal RNA", at positions 338 to 525 of the family's 1533-position model. The record is from RNAcentral. Lineage: Bacteria; Pseudomonadati; Bacteroidota; Flavobacteriia; Flavobacteriales; Flavobacteriaceae.
CCUACGGGAGGCAGCAGUGAGGAAUAUUGGGCAAUGGAGGCAACUCUGACCCAGCCAUGCCGCGUGCAGGAAGACGGCCCUAUGGGUUGUAAACUGCUUUUAUACAGGAAGAAACCUUUCUACGUGUGGGUGCUUGACGGUACUGUAAGAAUAAGCACCGGCUAACUCCGUGCCAGCAGCCGCGGUAAUA